This 253-nucleotide ribosomal RNA is filed under the name uncultured bacterium. RNAcentral's name for it is "partial 16S ribosomal RNA". It matches the Rfam family "Bacterial small subunit ribosomal RNA", at positions 524 to 776 of the family's 1533-position model. The record is from RNAcentral.
UACGGAGGGUGCAAGCGUUGUCCGGAAUCACUGGGCGUAAAGGGCGCGUAGGCGGCUCAUGAAGGCUGUGGUGAAAGUCCGGGGCUCAACCUCGGAUCGGCCGUGGCGACUCGUGGGCUGGAGCACUGUAGAGGCGGGUGGAAUUCCGGGUGUAGCGGUGGAAUGCGUAGAGAUCCGGAAGAACAUCAGUGGCGAAGGCGGCCCGCUGGGCAGUGGCUGACGCUGAGGCGCGACAGCGUGGGGAGCAAACAAG